This 391-nucleotide ribosomal RNA is filed under the name uncultured bacterium. Its description in RNAcentral is "partial 16S ribosomal RNA". It matches the Rfam family "Bacterial small subunit ribosomal RNA", at positions 355 to 739 of the family's 1533-position model. The record is from RNAcentral.
UGGGGAAUAUUGCACAAUGGGCGCAAGCCUGAUGCAGCCAUGCCGCGUGUGUGAAGAAGGCCUUCGGGUUGUAAAGCACUUUCAGCGAGGAGGAAGGUGGUGAGCUUAAUACGCUCAUCAAUUGACGUUACUCGCAGAAGAAGCACCGGCUAACUCCGUGCCAGCAGCCGCGGUAAUACGGAGGGUGCAAGCGUUAAUCGGAAUUACUGGGCGUAAAGCGCACGCAGGCGGUUUGUUAAGUCAGNUGUGAAAUCCCCGGGCUCAACCUGGGAACUGCAUUUGAAACUGCAAGCUAGAGUCUCGUAGAGGGGGGUAGAAUUCCAGGUGUAGCGGUGAAAUGCGUAGAGAUCUGGAGGAAUACCGGUGGCGAAGGCGGCCCCCUGGACGAAGA